Non-coding RNA from Oryza sativa Japonica Group (Japanese rice), 691 nucleotides. NCBI's taxonomy places the organism in Eukaryota, Viridiplantae, Streptophyta, Magnoliopsida, Poales, Poaceae. The record is from RefSeq and is a predicted model, not a curated record.
UCGAUCUAAAUCCGCUUCGCUUGUAGCGGUAGGCUCCCAAAAGUAUUUCCUCCCCGCCGUUCCCCUCUACGAUACCGCCGCCGCCAGCCGCCUCUCUCAUCCGGAACCCGUCUGCCGCUGCUACCCUCUUCUACGCGUGGGAGGGCGCCGUGCCGCUGUCUGCCUGCUGGCCGCCCCUCCUCGUCCAACUGCCCGAGGUAACUGCCGCCGCUUUCUUCCUCCACGGCACCACCUGGGUAGCCGGCGCCGCCCACAGCCGCUGACAUAUUCCUCCUCACGCAAGAGGGCCACUGAUGUGGUGCUGUCGUCCGUCGUGACUCGUGAAGGGGAGACAGACAUAAGGGGUGAAGCUUGGCUGAUGAUUCAACAUUAGAAGACUGCAAUGAACAAGAGGCCACUUAAGAAAUGCCAUAGAACAAUCAACGACAGAAAAAUAUGGACUGAAGGAAAUUAUUCUGGGAGCUGAUGUGUGAAAGUAGUUAGUUUUGCCUCAUGUCUGUAGCCUUUCUUUGUAAGAUGCACUAAAGUAGCUGGGUAGUCUGUAUAUAGUUAAGAGUUUGCAGGGACAGUAGUCAUAGAUGCUACAAAUUUGAACCCCCUUUUGGUUCAAAUAGCAAAGAAACUCAUAUCUGUACAAUAUAUUUCUUUUAUCACCUGGCGUGUUGGAUGUUAUGAAAUCUGCAAAGUGAUU